CUUCUUUGUUUCCUCUGAAUGUUCUGGGAACACAUUCAGGUCACGACAUGUUGCGGUCUACAGCAAAUCUUUUGCUCAGACAUACUCUUGCUGUGACCUUUCCCACAAUCAGGGCAGAUGGCCAAACACACCCUGGAUUGCCUCCAAUUUUCAUUCUUUGAAGAGAUGGCAUGGUCUCGGCAGCUUUGCACUUCUGCCUUGAAAAACAAGUUGAGAUGAUGUUAUUUGGAGCUUCUGCUAACUUUAGAACAGAAUUCAGAACCGUGUCUGAAAGUUUGAAGGCUAACAAAGGGCUCAUUGGGGGACCAUAAAAAGAAAAGCAGGGAUUCAAGUUUGAAUGGAAAUACCAGCUCCUGUGUGUUUGUCUCAUUUUCUUCAGAGGAUGCCCACGAGGUUUUCUUUUCAAAUGUGCACAUGGAAGAGUCCAGACCAGGACUUGCAGAGACGGCUGCAGGGACUAGACAGAACGUUCUGCCUUUAGUCAUGCAACUCUUCAUUUAUUGGACUCUGCACUGCAUAAUGGGAGAUUAUGCAAGUCAGAAUUACCUACUGAGCCUCAGUGCACAGAAACAAAGAAACAUGAAGACCAGAAGUUGGCACUUGAUGCAGGUUCUCAAUGUCUCUGUAGUCCACAGGAUCGGAGGAUUAAGCCACAUUUGUGUGGGGACAGAAAAGCAACACGGUAUCUCUAACAGGACAGAUCAAGCCUCGUUGCCACCAGACUCCGGCUGGCACGGCGGUGGAUCCAAAAUGAAAGGCGACUCAGUCGGGCGUUUGUCCACGUGUAGUCCUUUCCGCUGUGCCGCAUGUCUCAGAUGA
Molecule: long non-coding RNA, 819 nt
Filed under: Oreochromis niloticus (Nile tilapia)
Lineage: Eukaryota; Metazoa; Chordata; Actinopteri; Cichliformes; Cichlidae
Description: lncRNA (ENSONIG00000036293.1)
Source: RNAcentral